This 253-nucleotide ribosomal RNA is filed under the name uncultured bacterium. RNAcentral describes it as "partial 16S ribosomal RNA". It matches the Rfam family "Bacterial small subunit ribosomal RNA", at positions 524 to 776 of the family's 1533-position model. The record is from RNAcentral.
UACGUAGGGUGCAAGCGUUGUCCGGAAUUAUUGGGCGUAAAGAGCUCGUAGGCGGUGUGUCGCGUCGGUCGUGAAAACUUGGGGCUUAACCCCGGGCCUGCAGUGGGUACGGGCAGACUAGAGUGCGGUAGGGGAGACUGGAAUUCCUGGUGUAGCGGUGAAAUGCGCAGAUAUCAGGAGGAACACCAAAGGCGAAGGCAGCGUCCUGGCAAGUCACUGACGUUCAGGUGCGAAAGCUAGGGGAGCGAACGGG